GGCGUCACAAACCACGAGGAGGAGCAGCGUGUUCUCUCCUGAGCGUGAAGCGGGCGUGCGGUGCUGCUUGCGCAGGAGCCGCUCGUCAUUGGUGACCGUUCCCGUCCCACGUGUUGGGUCUGGGAGGGAGAGAACACAGGCUGAGUGGU
Phasianus colchicus (ring-necked pheasant) is the source of this 149-nucleotide small nucleolar RNA. RefSeq annotates it as small nucleolar RNA U3. The record is from RefSeq and is a predicted model, not a curated record. NCBI's taxonomy places the organism in Eukaryota, Metazoa, Chordata, Aves, Galliformes, Phasianidae.